UAGUUUAAAAAUUGUUUGGUAUUUAUUUUAGGUAUACAUAUCGAGUAGAAUGCAUGAAUUUUUUAAUAAACAAUAGAUAAGAAGUACUGUAAUGGAAUUUUGAAAAACUGAAAAUUUAAGUAUUAAUAAGUAAAAAAUUUUGUACCUUUUGCAUUAGGGUUUAAUGAAAUUAAGAAAAAAUUUUUUUUUCCCGAAAAAUCUUGAGCUACUAGAAUCUUUGUAUUGAUGUUGCAAAAUUUAUAUUAAAUUUUUAGUAGAAAUGAAAUUUUAGGCAAAAGGUUUGAUAUCUGGUUAGAAUAAAAAACUACAUGUUUUUGUAUAUGUCUUAAAUUUUUUGCUAUGUAUACUUUUUGUUUUUUGGGAUAAGCUAAAAAAUUUGUAUAUAUAGUAAAUAUUUUGUUAUUAAAGGCUUAAAAUUUGCUUAGUUUUGUUAUAAAAAAGUUGUAAUAGAUUUUUUAGUUAUUUUUUGUUACGUUUUAAUUAAUGAAAUGUUAAAAGUGUUUAUGUUAAGAUGAGUAUAAUUUUUUAUAAAUGUUUAAUUUUAAUAUAUAUUGGUUUAGAAAAUUAAAGAAAUAAAAAUUCGGCAAGUCAAAUUUCUGAUUGUUUAACAAAAACAUUGUAUUUUGAUGAGGAUAAAAUAUAUAACCUGCUCAAUGAAAUUGAAAUUUAAAUUGCUGUGGUAUUAUGACUAUGCGAAGGUAUUGAAAUAAGGCUUUAAAUGGGUGCUAAGAGAAUGGUUGAACAGAGAUUAACUUUUUUUUUCUUUUUAAUAGAAUUUAGUAUGAAAAUGCAAAAAUUUUUAUAUGAGUUUGGGACAAGAAGACCCUAUGAAUUUUAAUUUAAAAAAUUUAGGUAUUAAAUUUUAAAAAUUUUAGUAAUUUUUUAAAAUUGGUUGGGGUGACUUUUAAAGAAUUAAUAUCUUUAAAAUAUAAUUGAAGUUAGUUCCAACAUUGUUGAUUAAUUGAAAAAAAUACUCUAGGGAUAACAGCGUUAUUAUUUUGGAUAGUUCAUAUAGAUAAAAUAGAUUGCGACCUCGAUGUUGGAUUAAGAUACUUAUAUAAUGAAGAAGUUAUAUUAAGGAGUUUGCUCAACUUUUAAAGUCUUACAUGAUCUGAGUUCAGACCGGCGGGAGCCAGGUUGGUUUCUAUCUAAAUUGUAAUAUUUUUUUUAUAGUACGAAAGGAAUUAAAAAGGUAAAAUUUUUAAGUGAGGAAAUAGGUAAUUUAAGUUUAAUAAGGAUAGGAG
Molecule: ribosomal RNA, 1244 nt
Filed under: Ornithodoros rostratus
Lineage: Eukaryota; Metazoa; Arthropoda; Arachnida; Ixodida; Argasidae
Description: 16S ribosomal RNA
Rfam family: Archaeal large subunit ribosomal RNA (bases 981-1139)
Source: RNAcentral